CCUACGGGCGGCAGCAGUGGGGAAUAUUGCACAAUGGAGGGAACCCUGAUGCAGCGACGCCGCGUGAGUGAAGAAGUAUUUAGGUAUGUAAAGCUCUAUCAGCAGGAACGAGACAAGACGGUACCUGACUAAGAAGCCCCGGCUAACUACGUGCCAGCAGCCGCGGUAAUAAGUAGGGGGCAAGCGUUAGCCGGAAUCACGGGGUGUAAAGGGAGCGUAGACGGCUGAGCAAGCCUGAAGUGAACGGCCGGGGCCCAACCUCGGGAUUGCUUGGGAAACUGUACGGCUGGAGUGCAGGAGAGGUAAGUGGAAUUCCUAGUGUAGCGGUGAAAUGCGUAGAGAUUAGGAGGAACACCAGUGGCGAAGGCGGCUUACUGGACUGUAACUGACGUUGAGGCUCGAAAGCGUGGGGAGCAAACAGGAUUAGAUACCCUAGUAGUC
RNAcentral lists this ribosomal RNA (441 nucleotides) under uncultured bacterium. RNAcentral's name for it is "partial 16S ribosomal RNA". It matches the Rfam family "Bacterial small subunit ribosomal RNA", at positions 338 to 795 of the family's 1533-position model. The record is from RNAcentral.